This is a long non-coding RNA of Microplitis demolitor, 2268 nucleotides long. RefSeq lists it as uncharacterized. Lineage: Eukaryota; Metazoa; Arthropoda; Insecta; Hymenoptera; Braconidae. The transcript has 3 exons. The record is from RefSeq and is a predicted model, not a curated record.
GCAUAUUGUCAGAUAGUUCUACAUACUAAGCCAAGUCAUAAUAACAUUAUUUCCUGUUAGAACGACAGAAGUUGUGCAUCUCAACACAUCGACUAAUCGCUUGAAAAAAAAUAAUCAUAUAUUUUAUUUAAAAACAUACGCGAAAUGUCUAAAAUUCGAAUUUUCUUCUCCUUCAUAUUGCUAAUCGUCAUUAUGCAGAUGACAAAUGCUGAUAAAGAAGAUGAUGGGAAUGCUAUUCAAUGGGAAUAUAGGUGUACAGAAUUAGGAAAACCAUGUAGUUUUUUUAUGACGCCAUGUUGUGGAGAAGAACAUCAAUUACAAAAAAUCCCAAUAAUUCGGUGCAGGUCAUGGGAUUUACGAUCACCUGACGAUAAAAUUUGCCAACGAAUGCCAGAUGAUUAUUAUAGAUACGUCAAGAUUGAUGAAUAAUAUAUCAAUCGUCAUCGAACCCUUAAAGAGAUUUUGGUUCACAUUAAUCCAUAAUAUAUAUUGAUAAAAAUAUAUUUUGUCGAUAAAAAAAUUGUUUCAUUAAUCUAAUUUAAUUAUUUUAUUUUCCUGUUUCGAAAAUUCAUGCAAAAUCCUAUUUAUAGAAAUUCAAAAAAUUAUACAACAGGAAUUAAGUGAAUAUUUCCAGGCUAUAACAUGAUGAUUGUGGUUACGUAAUACUUUAAAAAAAGGUUUUUAAUAAUUAAAAACAAGUGAGAUUUAAUUUCAAAUAGAGUGUUAAGAAGUGACCAGAAUUUAUAUUAGAACUUUUCUUUAGAUAGAAAAUAUAUCCAGUUAAAAAUUAAUGUUCAAUAAUUAAAUUAAAACUGCGGGGUUUCCCUCGAUAAAAAAAAAUUAGUAAUAAUAUUCAAAUUUCUUAAUUUGUUACGAUAUUUCGAGUAUUAAAUAAUUAUUAGUUCCUAUAUGCUAAAUAUAAAUAUUUACGGCCGUGAACAUAAUUUCGUUUAUAUUUUUACAUUUUAUUGGGAACCUUAGAAUGGACGUGGCUUAGAUAUUAGUCAUCUGGUGGCCAAAAAAUAAACUAACCAAAAUAGGCUGCUUUGAAUGUUUACUAUACAAAAUCAACUGACAUUUAUGUUUUGAUAAUUUAUUUAAAUCAUUAUAAAUGUUAAAGAUUAUUACAGUAAAUAAUGGGGGUGUCAAUUUAAGACAUUUCAAAAUUUUUUAAAUGCGCAUUUUCAAAGAAUUUUAUUUUAUCAAUUAUUGAUUCUAUUUAUUAAUAAUUUUAAAUUUGUCUGAUGUCUACUGCAUUCACACUCAUUUAUUUUUGUCUUCAAUGAUCAAGUAUUCGACAUCUUGAAUACUUGAUCAUUGAAGACAAAAAGUAAUCAUCAUCUGGAUAAAAUAAAUGUUCAAGUUCUCAAAAGUGGAAGGAUUGUGGGUAUGAAUUUUUCUUGUUAAGUUGGUUUGAUGGUUUAUGCAAGCACGUGGUAGCAAAACUGUUUUAUUUAUGUCAGCAAUCAUCAAAACAGUCGAAUUUAUCUUUUUGAUCCAUUUUAUUUUUCAAAGUAACCAUAUUUGCAAAUUUUUGACGAACAUUGAAAAAUGUACACUGUCAUUAGAAUCACGACUUUUACAAUCAUACAAACAAUAUAUGUUACAUUUACUUAUUUUUCAUGGAAAUUCCAUGUUUAUAAAUAAAUUUUUUAAUUUAUAGAAACACAAUAAUUAUAGAGACAAUUAAAUAUUUAUUAUUUAUAUUAGCUGAUAAACGUAUAAGACACAUGUAAACAUUCAUGAUUCAGCCUACUUUGAGUAGUUAUAGCUUUGGUCACCAGUUGGCGUAUCAGAAUUCUAAGUUUUCCAAUAUAAAGCCACUUUAUCAAUUUCACUCCAGAAAGACGAUUACUGUGGAUCUGAACGCAUUGAUUAAUCGAUUUUAAAAAAUAUUUAUAAUAUUAUAUUUUAUUUAACAUAUACGUAAAAUGUUUAAAAUUACGGUUUUGUUAUUCUCCACUUUGUUAAUCGUUAUUAUGCAGUCGACAAGUGCUUUUUAUUACAAUAUCACUGAUCACAUCAUAUACAGAUGUACAGAUUUAGGAGACAUAUGUCACAAUGAUUUGCCGCCAUGUUGUGGAGAAGAGCGCAGAUUACAUCAAAUUCCAGUAGUUCGAUGCAGACAGUGGAAUUUAUUAAUACCACAUGAGAAACGUUGUCAACGAAUGCCGAAUGACUAUUACUUGUAUUUUACUGAUAAUGACAAAUAAUAUGUAUUAGUUCAUGACAUGCAUAAAAAAAAAUAAAUAUUAUAAAUUAAGGAAC